RNAcentral lists this ribosomal RNA (228 nucleotides) under uncultured Chloroflexota bacterium. Its description in RNAcentral is "uncultured Chloroflexi bacterium partial 16S ribosomal RNA". It matches the Rfam family "Bacterial small subunit ribosomal RNA", at positions 1152 to 1382 of the family's 1533-position model. The record is from RNAcentral. Lineage: Bacteria; Bacillati; Chloroflexota.
CCUCGCAAAACGAGGAGGAAGGCGGGGAUGGCGUCAAGUCAGCAUGGCCUUUAUACCCUGGGCGACACACACGCUACAAUGGGUGGUACAGUAGGUAGCGAAGGAGCGAUCCGGAGCAAUCCUUAAACCAUCCUCAGUACGGAUUGCAGGCUGAAACCCGCCUGCAUGAAGCCGGAGUUGCUAGUAACCGCAUAUCAGCAUGGUGCGGUGAAUACGUUCUCGGGCCUU